AAGCUAGGGGUGCGAUGACGCUGAGAAUGGCACAGGCCAGAACCCUCAUCACUUGAACCGGGUAAUACCGGCGUAAGGAAGC
Molecule: non-coding RNA, 82 nt
Filed under: human gut metagenome
Description: TPP riboswitch (THI element)
Rfam family: TPP riboswitch aptamer (THI element)
About the family: Vitamin B(1) in its active form thiamin pyrophosphate (TPP) is an essential coenzyme that is synthesised by coupling of pyrimidine and thiazole moieties in bacteria. The previously detected thiamin-regulatory element, thi box was extended, resulting in a new, highly conserved RNA secondary structure, the THI element, which is widely distributed in eubacteria and also occurs in some archaea.
Source: RNAcentral